AUAAUAUUUAUUUAUUAAUUUUUUUUUUAUAUUGUUUAAUUAUAAUUAAAAUAAUUUUAAAAAUAAUGGUUUUAGUAUUUUUUAAAGAAAAAAUAAUUUUUAUGAUAGUUUAUUUGUAUUGUGAAAGAUAAUUGAAAUAAUUUGAAAAAUUUUUAUUUAAAAAGAAAGUUUUAUUUGCUGUACCUUGUGUAUCAGGGUUUAUUAAAUAAAAAAUAUUUAUUGAUAUUUUUCUCGAUUUUAAGAGAUCUAAUAAAUAAUGAUAGUUAAUGUAGCAUAAUUAUUAUAAAUUAUUAUUAGAAAUGAAACGUUAUUCGUUCUUAAAUAUAUCUAGUUUUUUAAGAAAUAAAUUUAAUUUAUAUAUUAAAAUGUAAUAAUUUAAUUUUAUAAUUUAUUAUAUUUUAAUAUAAAUAUUUUAAGGGAUGAGCUUUAGAAUAAAUUUUUAUAAUUAUUAAAUAUUGAUAAUAAAUAUAGGCUUAGAAAUAGUCAUUAUUAAUAAAUAUGUUAUAAUUUAUUUUAUUAUAAAAAAUAUUUAGUUAUAUUUAAAUGAUUUAUUAAAAUUUUGCUUUUAAUAUUAAAAAGUAAUUAAUUAUGAUGAAAUUAGUAAAUAUAUUUUUAAAAAUAAUUUAAAUUGAAAGGUUUUUUUAAGUAAUUCGGCAAAUUUAUAUUCACCUGUUUAUCAAAAACAUGUCUUUUUGUAUUUAAUUUAAAGUCUAACCUGCCCACUGAAAAUUUUAAAGGGCCGCGGUAUUUUGACCGUGCAAAGGUAGCAUAAUCAUUAGUCUUUUAAUUGGAGGCUCGUAUGAAUGGUUGGAUGAAAUAUAAACUGUCUCAAAAAAAUUUAUUAUUGAAUUUUAUUUUUUAGUUAAAAAGCUAAAAUAAAAUUAAAGGACGAGAAGACCCUAUAAAACUUUAUAUUUAAUUUCUAUUGUUUAUAUAGAUAUUUUAAAACUUUAUUAUAUUAAAUAUUUUGUUGGGGUGACAAUAAAAUUUAAUAAACUUUUAUUAAAAUUUUACAUUUAUUUAUGGUUAAUUGAUCCAUUAUUAGUGAUUAUAAAAUUAAGUUACUUUAGGGAUAACAGCGUAAUUUUUUUUGAGAGUUCAUAUCGACAAAAAAGAUUGCGACCUCGAUGUUGGAUUAAGAGUUAUUCUUGGGUGUAGCAGUUCAAGCUUUAGGUCUGUUCGACCUUUAAAUUCUUACAUGAUCUGAGUUCAAACCGGUGUAAGCCAGGUUGGUUUCUAUCCUUAAUUCAUUAAAAUUUUUUAGUACGAAAGGACCAAAAAUUUAAAAUAAAGUUUUUUUAUUAUGAAAGUUAUUAAUU
This 1319-nucleotide ribosomal RNA is filed under the name Dixella aestivalis. Its description in RNAcentral is "16S ribosomal RNA". The stretch from base 622 to 1319 matches the Rfam family "Archaeal large subunit ribosomal RNA", at positions 1423 to 2862 of the family's 2987-position model. Lineage: Eukaryota; Metazoa; Arthropoda; Insecta; Diptera; Dixidae. The record is from RNAcentral.